Molecule: transfer RNA, 77 nt
Filed under: Pseudomonas nitroreducens
Lineage: Bacteria; Pseudomonadati; Pseudomonadota; Gammaproteobacteria; Pseudomonadales; Pseudomonadaceae
Description: tRNA-Asp
Rfam family: tRNA
About the family: Transfer RNA (tRNA) molecules are approximately 80 nucleotides in length. Their secondary structure includes four short double-helical elements and three loops (D, anti-codon, and T loops).
Source: RNAcentral
GGCCCGUUAGCCCAGUGGUCUAAGGCUCCGGCUUGUCUCGCCGGGAAUCGUGGAUUCGAAUCCCACACGGGUCGCCA